UACGGGGGGGGGCAAGCGUUUGUUCGGAAUUACUGGGCGUAAAGGGCUCGUAGGCGGCCAACUAAGUCCGACGUGAAAUCCCAGGCUUUAACCUGGGAACUGCGUCGGAUACUGGAUGGCUUGAAUCCGGGAGAGGGAUGCGGAAUUCCAGGUGUAGCGGUGAAAUGCGUAGAUAUCUGGAGGAACACCGGUGGCGAAGGCGGCUCCUGUCG
RNAcentral lists this ribosomal RNA (212 nucleotides) under uncultured bacterium. RNAcentral's name for it is "partial 16S ribosomal RNA". It matches the Rfam family "Bacterial small subunit ribosomal RNA", at positions 524 to 734 of the family's 1533-position model. The record is from RNAcentral.